This 254-nucleotide ribosomal RNA is filed under the name uncultured bacterium. Its description in RNAcentral is "partial 16S ribosomal RNA". It matches the Rfam family "Bacterial small subunit ribosomal RNA", at positions 524 to 776 of the family's 1533-position model. The record is from RNAcentral.
UACGUAGGGGGCGAGCGUUGUCCGGAUUCAUUGGGCGUAAAGAGCUCGUAGGCGGCUUGGCAAGUCGGGUGUGAAAUCUCUGGGCUUAACUCAGAGAGGCCACUCGAUACUGCUAUGGCUAGAGUCCGGUAGGGGAGUGUGGAAUUCCCGGUGUAGCGGUGAAAUGCGCAGAUAUCGGGAGGAACACCAGUGGCGAAGGCGGCACUCUGGGCCGGUACUGACGCUGAGGAGCGAAAGCGUGGGGAGCGAACAGG